ACAGGUUUCAGGCUUAGGAAGAAAGGGGUAGUAGUCCAGGAACUCUUUCUUCAUGGUAGGAAUAACUUAAUAGAUGUGUUACAGUUGGGAAUAUCGGAUUUCCUCUGGCCCAGGUGUCCAGGUGAGCACUUCAGGCAUUACUGAGGAAUCUGUGUUGCUGUAUUACUGUUCCGUGAUGUCAAACCCUGUUUUCCACACAGUAUAACGCAACAGCAUAGUGUAUAGUAUUAUAGACCAGACAGCUUGGGCCUGGAAUUAUUGCUCCCCCACACCUAUCCCUACCCACACCUCAGGCAAAACAAGCAAAAAGCCCCAAAUCUACUUUUGAGCAAGAGGGUGUGCUCAGGAAGAAGGAACACACAGAGGAAGUAUACUUGGUUUUUAUUCCGAGGAAGGUGGUAAUUGUAUCCUUUCCCCUUUGGCUGGGGUCUGAACCUCUGCUAGUCUGAGAAUUGGUGCAUAAGAAAAUGGAGGAAGGGGAAAGGAGUUAUUGCUCCAAAGAGGAAAGGAUCAUUGCUUCAGGCUACCAAAUUCUUAGAAUAGAAAUAGGACCUUUGAGUAAAUAAAAGUUUUACUUGAAGUGGGGGGAGGGAUUAACUCCUAAACACAAGUUUUAUAGUAUUUGAUAGAAAAAAAAUCUCAUUAUAUAUUUCUUAUAAAUCCUUCCUCUUUUUUUCCUUUUAAAACACUCUUUUCUUCAAACUCAUUGUGGUUUUCUUUUUCUGUUCUAUCUUGGAAUAAGAAACUGCCCUGGGGAGGGAGUAGUACCUGUUUAUUAAUAGUCAACUCAACUAUCCUAUGUUAUGUUCCUAGAAUAAAAAAUUGUUACAUCUAUUUCAUUACCAUGGUUUAAGGUAAGCUCACCUUCCUAAGGGUAGUUCCUCUGUCAGGAGAAUGAUCUAUCUGCUUUGGAAUCAUUGCCCUUUGAUGUGCAAAGGAGUUUGCCUCCUUUUAAGUGAAGUAUCCAGGGUGUGGGGCUCCAGAAAGUAUUACAGUGUUUUAAAUGUAGCAUUUGCUUGUAAUAUUUGUAACAUACAUUUAGGCACUUGUGAAUCUUCUUUGAUAAUUGGGACACAUUCGUCAAUUCUGAGAACUUGUUAUUUUUUUUCUAUUUUCAUAGUGUUUACUGUGAAUUAAAAUUUGUUAUGCCACUGCCAAAAAAUAAAGCUUACUUUGGAACACA
Molecule: long non-coding RNA, 1183 nt
Filed under: Mus musculus (house mouse)
Lineage: Eukaryota; Metazoa; Chordata; Mammalia; Rodentia; Muridae
Description: long non-coding RNA chr10:86913498-86914681
Source: RNAcentral